This 1116-nucleotide ribosomal RNA is filed under the name Staphylococcus aureus. Its description in RNAcentral is "partial 23S ribosomal RNA". It matches the Rfam family "Bacterial large subunit ribosomal RNA", at positions 328 to 1452 of the family's 2925-position model. Lineage: Bacteria; Bacillati; Bacillota; Bacilli; Caryophanales; Staphylococcaceae. The record is from RNAcentral.
AUUAGACGAAUCAUCUGGAAAGAUGAAUCAAAGAAGGUAAUAAUCCUGUAGUCGAAAAUGUUGUCUCUCUUGAGUGGAUCCUGAGUACGACGGAGCACGUGAAAUUCCGUCGGAAUCUGGGAGGACCAUCUCCUAAGGCUAAAUACUCUCUAGUGACCGAUAGUGAACCAGUACCGUGAGGGAAAGGUGAAAAGCACCCCGGAAGGGGAGUGAAAUAGAACCUGAAACCGUGUGCUUACAAGUAGUCAGAGCCCGUUAAUGGGUGAUGGCGUGCCUUUUGUAGAAUGAACCGGCGAGUUACGAUUUGAUGCAAGGUUAAGCAGUAAAUGUGGAGCCGUAGCGAAAGCGAGUCUGAAUAGGGCGUUUAGUAUUUGGUCGUAGACCCGAAACCAGGUGAUCUACCCUUGGUCAGGUUGAAGUUCAGGUAACACUGAAUGGAGGACCGAACCGACUUACGUUGAAAAGUGAGCGGAUGAACUGAGGGUAGCGGAGAAAUUCCAAUCGAACCUGGAGAUAGCUGGUUCUCUCCGAAAUAGCUUUAGGGCUAGCCUCAAGUGAUGAUUAUUGGAGGUAGAGCACUGUUUGGACGAGGGGCCCCUCUCGGGUUACCGAAUUCAGACAAACUCCGAAUGCCAAUUAAUUUAACUUGGGAGUCAGAACAUGGGUGAUAAGGUCCGUGUUCGAAAGGGAAACAGCCCAGACCACCAGCUAAGGUCCCAAAAUAUAUGUUAAGUGGAAAAGGAUGUGGCGUUGCCCAGACAACUAGGAUGUUGGCUUAGAAGCAGCCAUCAUUUAAAGAGUGCGUAAUAGCUCACUAGUCGAGUGACACUGCGCCGAAAAUGUACCGGGGCUAAACAUAUUACCGAAGCUGUGGAUUGUCCUUUGGACAAUGGUAGGAGAGCGUUCUAAGGGCGUUGAAGCAUGAUCGUAAGGACAUGUGGAGCGCUUAGAAGUGAGAAUGCCGGUGUGAGUAGCGAAAGACGGGUGAGAAUCCCGUCCACCGAUUGACUAAGGUUUCCAGAGGAAGGCUCGUCCGCUCUGGGUUAGUCGGGUCCUAAGCUGAGGCCGACAGGCGUAGGCGAUGGAUAACAGGUUGAUAUUCCUGUACCACCUAUA